GCCUUUGCCUGUUGUUACUGAUAUUGGGUAUUUUCUCUUGCAAACUGCAUCUUCAGGCAGUUGUUCCUUUGCCCAGCCUUCUAAGAAAGCCCCAAUCUAUGGCCCUACUGGUCAGUCAACAGUGGUGUUCCUUCAGAAAUUCACUUGCUCUUGGUAAAGUUCAAAAUGCCCCCAGAUGGCACAUGUUUAGUAGAGGAUCAGAGGGCAAUGAAGUUAAAACCUCUGCUGGCUGAUGCGCCAAUCUGUAUUAGCUCUGUGGGACAUCAGCAGUUCCAUUUCCCAGCAAUGGGCUUCUUUCCUAUUUUAGUUCCAGGGCACAGAUUCUAUGUUGACUUUGUAUCCCUGGAUUGGGCACUUCAAACUCAGAGGGGAUGAUACGGUUUGGGCAGGGUCCUCAGUGUCCAAGAGAAAACACGAUGCCUGCCUCAUUUAGUGCACACAUGUCCCGCUCUGGAUGCAAGUCAAGGUUCUGACAUGGGAGAGAUACGAGCUUGCUGAAGCUACCUCAUCUUCUGCAGAGGCUGGGAGAUGUCUGUGUCUGAACCAGCAGACUCAGAAGAACAAACCUCAGCUGGAUCCUUCACCCUCUGCUGAAAGCAUUGCGGGAUUCAAUUUCCGAGAUGGCUGACCCCAGUUUCUCAACCUUGAGGCAAGCACCCAAGACAGAGGAGCACUUAACCGUGUGCAUACAUGUCACUGCUCAGUCAGAACAUACUCCUAGGGUCAUUUCUUUGGUAUCACUUUCCAGGAAAGAAAAAAGCCCUUCCUUUGCUUUCCCUUUUGGCAAAGAAGAUAUACGUGCAUGACAAAAUUGAAGUCAAUGAGCGUUAAGCACAUGCUUGAGUGCUUCCUUGAAUGGGGAGCUCAAUUUCUA
Meleagris gallopavo (turkey) is the source of this 874-nucleotide non-coding RNA. NCBI's taxonomy places the organism in Eukaryota, Metazoa, Chordata, Aves, Galliformes, Phasianidae. The record is from RefSeq and is a predicted model, not a curated record.